Molecule: long non-coding RNA, 553 nt
Filed under: Vigna radiata
Lineage: Eukaryota; Viridiplantae; Streptophyta; Magnoliopsida; Fabales; Fabaceae
Description: long non-coding RNA (VRAD_LNC010437)
Source: RNAcentral
UAGACUAAGAUCUCCUACAUUUCUCACCACAUACCUCACCCCUUUCUACUUGAGAUUGUGUGAUUAUUAUAGCGAUAUCAUAAUUCUCAAUACUAAAUUCAUAUAUCAAUACAUACAAUAAUGAAACACCACCAUAGAAUCUCCCCACAAGAUCAUGGAAUUACACUAAACACAUAUAUUACUCAUCAUCAUUACAAUAUCAUACGUGAAUAAACCUAAUAAUACUCUUAGACAUGCAUAACUUACAUUACAUUCUAUCUCAACUGGACAAAGAAGAAGAAAAUUUCAAACAUACACACUGGUACUCAAAGGUGGCACCCAACACUAGACUUCUCGCAAAUGGCGGCAUUCAGCAUCAUUCUUCUUGCAAAAAGAAAUGCUUAGUGACACCCUUUUACCACCCAACAUCUUGUAAAUAAAUUACUCCAAAGCAUUCACAAAACUGAGUGUCCAAUGUCACCCUCUACCACUGCUCAAGCUAUCACAUUCAUAAAAUAGGAUGUCCAGCUUCACCUUGACGUCGCUUAACGCUAUACCAAAUAUUAUAUAUACC